CUACCAUGCAGUCGACGCUGAAGCCUGGUGCUUGCACUGGGUGGAUGAGUGGCGAACGGGUGAGUAACACGUGAGUAACCUGCCCCUGAUUUCGGGAUAAGCCUGGGAAACUGGGUCUAAUACCGGAUAUGACCUUCCCUCGCAUGGGGGUUGGUGGAAAGUUUUUCGAUUGGGGAUGGGCUCGCGGCCUAUCAGCUUGUUGGUGGGGUAAUGGCCUACCAAGGCGACGACGGGUAGCCGGCCUGAGAGGGCGACCGGCCACACUGGGACUGAGACACGGCCCAGACUCCUACGGGAGGCAGCAGUGGGGAAUAUUGCACAAUGGGGGAAACCCUGAUGCAGCGACGCAGCGUGCGGGAUGACGGCCUUCGGGUUGUAAACCGCUUUCAGCAGGGAAGAAGCGCAAGUGACGGUACCUGCAGAAGAAGUACCGGCUAACUACGUGCCAGCAGCCGCGGUAAUACGUAGGGUACGAGCGUUGUCCGGAAUUAUUGGGCGUAAAGAGCUCGUAGGUGGUUGGUCACGUCUGCUGUGGAAACGCAACGCUUAACGUUGCGCGUGCAGUGGGUACGGGCUGACUAGAGUGCAGUAGGGGAGUCUGGAAUUCCUGGUGUAGCGGUGAAAUGCGCAGAUAUCAGGAGGAACACCGGUGGCGAAGGCGGGACUCUGGGCUGUAACUGACACUGAGGAGCGAAAGCAUGGGGAGCGAACAGGAUUAGAUACCCUGGUAGUCCAUGCCGUAAACGUUGGGCACUAGGUGUGGGGGGCAUUCCACGUUCUCCGCGCCGUAGCUAACGCAUUAAGUGCCCCGCCUGGGGA
This 819-nucleotide ribosomal RNA is filed under the name Brevibacterium siliguriense. RNAcentral's name for it is "bacterial SSU rRNA". It matches the Rfam family "Bacterial small subunit ribosomal RNA", at positions 49 to 879 of the family's 1533-position model. The record is from RNAcentral. Lineage: Bacteria; Bacillati; Actinomycetota; Actinomycetes; Micrococcales; Brevibacteriaceae.